RNAcentral lists this long non-coding RNA (477 nucleotides) under Rattus norvegicus (Norway rat). RNAcentral describes it as "long non-coding RNA NONRATT006904". Lineage: Eukaryota; Metazoa; Chordata; Mammalia; Rodentia; Muridae. The record is from RNAcentral.
AGCGCAGUAGUGCCAGCUUAAGAGGCUGUGCCUCACUGUAGGGAAUCCCCACUUCACCACAGCAAUAAGUAUACUGUGACACCCUGAGGAGCAGGGCAGGGGUAUAAUGGCCAUGUUAGCUCAGUAUGUUAUCACCAUGUUAUCAGUGCUGGGCAGAGGCUCCCAGCCCCCAGCACUGCACUCAGCUGCUCCAUCCGUGGUCCUUGCCCUGCUCACUAUGGUUUUACCUCCAUUUCAGCCCCAGAAGGGGAAGUUGACCCCAAGUCCUGUUGACUUCACGAUCACCCCGGAAACCUUGCAGAAUGUCAAAGAGGUAUUUGUCUCUCAAUCACACUUGUGUGUUGUGGCUUUCCUGAGAACGUGACCCAAUGACCAGCUACUGCCCAGUUGUUCUUCAGGGACAGAGGUUUCCAAUGGUGUUUGUACCCAAGGGCUGUUUUCAAAUUGAUUUCAUGUUGAGCUCACUAAUUAUUUAGG